GCUGGGCGUGGUGGCGCGCGCCUGUAAUCCCAGCUACUUGGGAGACUGAGGCAGGAGAAUCGCUUGAACCCAGGAGGCGGAGGUUGCAGUGAGCUGAGAUUGUGCCACUGCAUCCAACUUGGGUGACAGAGUGAGAUUCUGUCUCAA
Molecule: non-coding RNA, 147 nt
Filed under: Chlorocebus sabaeus (green monkey)
Lineage: Eukaryota; Metazoa; Chordata; Mammalia; Primates; Cercopithecidae
Source: Rfam by way of RNAcentral